This 11205-nucleotide long non-coding RNA is filed under the name Brassica napus (rape). Its description in RNAcentral is "long non-coding RNA (BNAP_LNC005341)". Lineage: Eukaryota; Viridiplantae; Streptophyta; Magnoliopsida; Brassicales; Brassicaceae. The record is from RNAcentral.
GGCAACGAGUCCAUGAUGCUAUGUUUGAUGGAAUUGUUGAGCAGUACCCGAUGAUAGCAUCGGCAUUGAAGGCUCGACAAGCUGCAACAGACUCAGAGGCGUCUAACGAUCAGGAGAAGAAGCGGGACGUCGAGGCUCUGUUGGAAAUCAUGGGGGACCUGUAUCCAGAUUUUGCAUCAGCGCUGAAGGCUAUGCGUGGGACUGCCUUAGAGCGAGGGGAGCCGUCGAGGGAUCAGGGGGAGAUGGCCGAGCUCGACCAACCUACGUCCACAGCUGUGGCAGCAGAUCUCUUGCCACGAGAUGGAGACUAGAUUUAUGAUUGUGCUUUUAUUUUCCCGUAAAACUUGCAUAUUACAAAUUAUUUUUGGGUUUCGAUAUUUUGGGUAUUAGGUAUGUCGGAUCUAGGAAAUUUGGUACCGAUUAGAUUGUUUAGAAUUUUGGAUCGUAUCGGUUUGGUACUCGGAUCAGUUCCAUUUGUUAAAAUUUAAAUCUAUAGAAAAUUACUGACUUAAAGCCUUAGAACAUCAAAGUCGCACUAACUCAAAAACUUAAUCGGCAUCUACGUCUAUAGUAUCUGAAGACUAAUUUGAGUUUUUAAGCGUUUCUCCUGCUCUCUGUAAACGUAGAGGAACUCAGCGGGUGCUCAUAAACUCACCAGGUUAAACACCAGAAAGAAAAAAACAGGUCGAGAAGGUAGCCUUGAUUUACAUCAUUUCCAUUCAACAGUACUGGAAUCAGUUCUCAUCUCUUUAGUUCACCUUAUACUUUCCAGUUUGACAUUAGGAAACUACAGACUCACAAAUCCAAAUGCACAGCUGAAACAUUUAAUCACACUGUCAACUCUCUUAAGAGAUUGUCUACUAAGGAUUCCCAAAAAAUCUUUCUGCAAAAGUUGUGGAGUACCCUGCUACAUAUGUAAGAGGUGAAGGUAUGGUUUCAGUUUCUGUAUCAUAAAUAUAAAAAAAACUUGAUGAAUUGUAUGCAUCCAUCUCUUGCAAACGAGAAGAAUUUUGAGUCAAAAAGCUUUGUCUUCCAAGAUAAUUUGAAAACCAUUUCUCUUCUCUCUCAUCAAACGCAGAGCCAGACCAUUCCGCAUCGACACACCUUUUGCCACAGAACUCGGUUUAGACAAUAGAAUCUUUAACAGACUCAUACCAGGAGCUAUUACCACUGCAAAAUGAAAGAAUCAAGACAACAAUUCAAGUCUCGUCUCGGACAAAAGUUUAUGUUAUUACUAACAGAAUAUAUUUAUACCCAAAUAUAAGUCUUUUGGCUCCCAAAUCCCAAUCUUUCAAGAUGGAGUGGUAAGAGAAAGAGAAAUUAGGAAGAUGGUUGAGUGUAUGAGUUUAGUCCACGUAAACAAUAUUUGUAAAACACACAGAAACAAACCAUUAUUUUUGUCUGACUGUGGUUGUAUGAUUAAGGAGGACGUCGAUGGACUGGUGCCGGGAAAUAAACCGUAAAUGUAGAUCCACCGUACUGCUCUGUUUUCUGUCUCUUUAACACAACCUCGAUAGAUGUUGCCUCUGUUCUGGUCUUCUCCUCCGUUUUCCAAUCUCUUCCUCCACCUUCAGUUUUUGUCGUCGCGGGAACUUGUCUGAAUCUAGCAUGUCCAGUUUUAGAUCUACCGAGAAGAGAUAUAACCUUGACAACGUCAGUGACCGCCGUUAUCUAAGAGGCUGAGCUUUAUAUAGAAGACCUUCCACCGGUUAGAUAUGAAGAGGUUGAGCUGGAAUUAAUGCUACGGAGUGGGGCGAGUGAGAUGAAACAUGUUAAUGGUCGGAUCAAAGAAGUAAAUAAAUGGAAACGGAAGGCGUUACAGAAAGUGAAUCGGCGACUGCUUCAUCGGAAUGAAAAGAGCUCAGACCAAAUAACCUACACUAAGUUUUGUGCUUAGAGAAAAAAAAACAAUUGGGCUAGGACAAAAUAACCUAAUAUAAGCCCAAAUAGAAAUUACUUUGGGAAUAAACUAUACGAAGCUCAUAAUGGUUGCGAAAGGAUUAUUGAGAACAGAAAAAAAAUUGGUUUGUUGGUUUUUUUUAAGUGCCAGGUGUCUAAAAAAGCCCCUAUGUUAAUGAUGAUGUGGAUGGCCUAAGGAGAGAGACAACUCUCCUUUAUUAUUAUAGAUAGAUAGAUACUAUUCCUUCAUUUCGUAAUAUUAAUUUUCGUGUCUAUGAAGGUAAUUAUGUACAAACUGACUAAUUAAUCAAAGUUAUAAAGGGACAUAUAUACAUUCGCCAUUUUUUUUGGACAACACAUAUACAAAAAGUUUUAACACUUUGAGACUCACGAUUCUGGUAUUUGAUUGGGUUUGCCGGUUUGGUUUUAUUCGGUUUGAUAACCAGUGCAAAACCAUUCCUUCACACUCUUUCACAGAAAACACCCAACAUCUUCCCUACAAUAGGUUAACUCCCAAUCUUCUGCUUCUAUUUGAUUUGGGUGCAGCGAAGAUGGAUCGUAUCGGAAGUCUCCCUGACGAGGUUCUUUCUCAUAUACUAUCUUCCCUAACGACAAAGGAAGCUGCUAUAACCUCGAUUCUCUCCAAAAGAUGGCGCAAUCUCUUUACACUCGUCCCUAGCCUCGACAUUGACGACUCUGUGUUUCUUAACCCGGAAGAGGGUAAGCGGGAACGAGAUGGUAUCCUCCAAAGCUUCAUGGAUUUCGUGGAUAAGGUUUUGGCUUCGCAGGGCGAUACUCCCAUCAAGAAAUUCUCCUUGAAAUGCAAAACUGGCAUCGACACAGAUCGUGUGAAUCAAUGGAUAUGUAAUGUCCUCCAACGUGGCGCUACAAGCCUUGAACUUGUCCUCGAUUUUCCUGGAUCAGACGACAAUUGGGAUUCCGAUUAUAUGUAUCUUCUGCCUAGAGAGCUGUUCGUUAGUAGCAAACUGGUGGAGCUGAAAUUAAGAAGCGAGUUUGGUGUUGAUUGGUGGCGUGGAGGUACGGACACUUUCUUACCAAUGCUUAAGACUCUCCGCUUUGAAUCUACGUGGAUUCUGUUGUGUGAUGAUCUCGAGGUGUUUCUCUCUGCUUUCCCUGUUCUCGAGGAGUUCUACAUGGCUGAUAUCGAGUGGCCUCAAUCGGACCAAUCCGCGUCGAGUCAGAGCCUCAGGAAGUUAACUAUCCAUGCCGGCGGUUUCCAAGAUUUUCGAAAUCCGAAGAGGAUUUCGUUUGAUAGUCCGAGUCUCGUUUACCUUGAGUAUUCUGAUUUUGUUGCCGCGGAUUAUCCGAAAGUUAACUUGCCCAAUCUAGCCGAGGCUGUGCUCGACCUUAAGGUGACUCUACAUCAGAUUGACUUAAUACGAGAACCAGAUGAUGAAGAUGAUGUUUCUCUACGUCUUGGAAAUGUGUGGAAGCUCAUAAGUGGCUUAAGAAAUGUUAAUAAACUUUUCAUUUCUGCUGAGACUCUUGAGGUCAGUUGUUAUUUAUCUGAAACAUCAAAUGUUUUUUGAAACAAAUGUUGAGAUGGGGUUUGUCUUUGUUUCAGGUACUCUCUCUAUGCUGUGAGUCGAUGCCGGUGUUCAACAACCUCAAAUCUCUACAUAUUAUUUCUGAUGCGGAUCUGGGAUGGCAAGCGAUGCCGGCUCUCUUAAGGAACUCUCCACAUUUAGAAACUCUAAUCCUUAAGGUAUAUAUAUGCUCAAAACAUUGUACAAAGUCACUUACUGACUUGCUUCCUCUUUCAAGGGUCUCUUACACCAUGUGACUGACAAGUGCGGGGAUGCUUGCGACUGCAUAUCUCGGGAGGACAAAGGUCGUUCACUAUCAUCAUGUCCAGUGAAGAAGUUGCAGAUCAGAGGGUUCAAAGGAACAGUUAGAGAGAAAGGGAUGAUAAGGCAUUUCUUGGAGUCUUUCCCAUGUCUGGAUGAGAUGGAAGUAUAUGCCGACCAGAGUGAUAAUGAUCCUACAAACGUGGAAGUCAAUAGAAUUUAUAAAAUCGUUGCAUACAAGGUUCACGCGGAGGACGUUUCGACGGAGACUGUGCUACAGUCGAAGACUAUGUCCCAAACCCAGAUGGAGGAGAUCUCCUCUCAGGUAUAUAUUGAAUUACAUUAAAAAAGAAACCAUUACGGUUUUGAAUUAACUAAUCAGUCCUUUUCUUGGAUUCUGCAGUUUACACCCCGCAAUAACAGAAAUAAGUACGAUUUUGUUUACAUCUUGCAUGGAUCUCCUCCUCCUCCAACACCUCAGGAUAUGUCUGAGGACUACCUUAAAGAACAGCUUGAUGCUGCUGAGACCAAACUUGCGGAACUUAAUGAGGAAUAUAAGGAGAGGCAACGAGUCCAUGAUGCUAUGUUUGAUGGAAUUGUUGAGCAGUACCCGAUGAUAGCAUCGGCAUUGAAGGCUCGACAAGCUGCAACAGACUCAGAGGCGUCUAACGAUCAGGAGAAGAAGCGGGACGUCGAGGCUCUGUUGGAAAUCAUGGGGGACCUGUAUCCAGAUUUUGCAUCAGCGCUGAAGGCUAUGCGUGGGACUGCCUUAGAGCGAGGGGAGCCGUCGAGGGAUCAGGGGGAGAUGGCCGAGCUCGACCAACCUACGUCCACAGCUGUGGCAGCAGAUCUCUUGCCACGAGAUGGAGACUAGAUUUAUGAUUGUGCUUUUAUUUUCCCGUAAAACUUGCAUAUUACAAAUUAUUUUUGGGUUUCGAUAUUUUGGGUAUUAGGUAUGUCGGAUCUAGGAAAUUUGGUACCGAUUAGAUUGUUUAGAAUUUUGGAUCGUAUCGGUUUGGUACUCGGAUCAGUUCCAUUUGUUAAAAUUUAAAUCUAUAGAAAAUUACUGACUUUAUCCAAAAUUACUAGUUCGGAUUCGGUUUUUUUAUAUCCAAUUUUUUUUUCAAAAAUAACAAAAAUAUCUUCAAAUAAAUGAAAAUAUGUGCUACCUAAAAAUUAAAUAAUAUAUUCAAAUUUAUAACUAUUAUUUUAAAUAUUUGAAUUAUUAUAAAUAUUAACAUAACUAAUAUUUCUAGAUAUAUUCUAUCCGUUUCAUAAUUGAUGAUGUUUUAGAAGAUUUUUGGUGUUUCAAAAUAUAUGAUGUUUUGAUAUUUUUAUGUUAUUUUUAACUCUAUUGAAAACUGUGUAACCAAUUAGAUGUUGUAAUCAUUUUUGUAACUGGUUGGAUGAUUUUUAAAUUAUAUUUUGAAACUACUUUUUAAGAGAAAAGUAAAUUUCUUAAUCUUUGUGCAUUAAAGAAUAACAUCAUGUAUUGUGAAACAGAGGGAGUAUAUGUUUACAUUUCGGAUAUUUUUGGAUAUAUGUAAUUUUCGGGUUCAGUUCAUGCUAGGGUUUGAUUUUUCAGAUAUAGAAAAUUAUGUAUCGUUCGGAUAUUUAUGUCGAAACAGGUUGGUUUGAAUUUCGGAUCCGUUAAGUCUAGAAAUUACUUAUUAAUAUAUUAUGUUUCAUUUAAGUUUAAUUAUUAUACUUUUUACUAUGUCUAAAUUUUAGUUCUCGACGAUGUUGCUCUGCUUGAUCGGAUGGUGGAAAAUGGUCAUCCACCUGACCUUGUCACUUACAGAACAAUUGUAAACAGAUUGUGUAAGAUAUUAUACAGUGCCGCCAUGACGUCAUAGCGAUGCUCAAAAUCUUUUCAGUGAAAUGCACGAGAAAGGAAUCGUUCCGGAUGUAAUCACCUACAGUUGUAUGAUAUAUGGUUUUUGUAUCUCUGGUAGAUGGAGUGAUGGCGAGCGGUUGUUGCGCGAAAUGGUAGAAACAGAUAUCAAUCCCAAUGUUGUAAAACACAUUGAUCAAUGCAUUGGUCAAAGGAGGCAAGUUCAUUGUGCCGACGAACUAUACAGUGAGAUGCUCCACAUGGGUGUAUAUCCUAAUACAGUCACAUAUAAUUCAAUGAUCGAUGGACUAUGCAGACAGAACCGCUUAGAUGAGGCAAAACGUACAUUCGAUUCGAUGGGUAGUAAAGGCUGCUCUCCAAAAGUAGUGACCUUCACUACACUCAUUAAUGGCUAUUGUAAGGCUGGGAAGGUUGACGAUGGGAUGGAGCUUGCCCACGAGAUGUACCAAAGAGGAAUAGUUGCUGAUGAAGUUACUUACAAAACUUUGAUUUAUGGGUUUCGUCAUGUGGGUCAUUGAAGCCCUAGACAUUUUCCAGGAGAUGAUUUCCAGUGGUAUAUGUCCUGAUACCAUUACUAUCCGGAAUAUGCUGAUUGAUUUAUGGAGUAAGGAGGAACUUAAAAUGGCUGUGACAAUGUUUUAGUAUCUCCAGAAGAGUAUGGUAUGUCCUCCUCAACACAUAUUUUUUUCAAUUUCUUUGCUUACCUUUCGUGUGUUUGGAGAAGAAUGUAAACAUAUCCAGGAAAGUUUGCUACCAAAUUUCCAAUUUCAGCUGAAAAAUACAGAAUCCUUAUUAACCCGCUGAUUGGUUGGGUGUGCUUGUUUUGCAGCGUUAAUAAUUACAGGAUGAAUGAAGAACAAAUGUUUUUAUGUCUUUGGCAGCAAAGCUUCAGUGCCAUUUAAUUUUUGUUGGAUCUGUUCCUUACUAAUUUUUUAUCAGAUUACAAAAUAUUGAAAUUUCUUUAAGCCUGGUGAUUUUGAAUUUUAUUUUUAUUUUUUUAUUUUCAUUUUUUAUUUUAUAGUUUUUUGAGUAUUUUUUUAUUUUUCUAAUGGCUUUAUCACCAAAGUAGUAAUGAUUUAUGCAUAUAUAUGUGGAUUGGCGUUUGCUAAUCAAAAUACCAAAAUAGAUAAUACAAUAUAUCAAAUUUUACAAAUGUUACCUGGAGAUGUGCACAUGCCUACAUGUUUAUAUGUGUACAUGAUUACAUUUGUACAUGUGUACUUUUUUUAUGUGUACAUAUAUAUAUUAUUAAAAAAUAAAUAGGCGGAUAGUGUUAAAAUAAUUAUUUGUGGAUUGAUUUAUAUGUGAAUAGUGAAAACGUACUCGUCUAUAUACUCUUUGAGAUACACAUCCACACAAAAAUUAUAAAAUGAUCUGAAAAAUUCAUCAAGAAUUUGAGACUAAUUACAACAUUUCAUUUUGACUAGCUCACUUAUUACUAACUAUUGUUUUCCAGUGAACUUCCGACGGACAAUGCUGUUGGAAAAUUUCCUCGAAAAUUUCUAACAAAAAGCAUUGGUCUGGAUUUCCAUGUGUUCAUAUGUACAUAUUUACAUGUGUGCAUGGUGUACAUGUACAUAUUAUUAAAGAAACGUACAUUUCGUUUGUAAUGUACAAAUGCAACAUGAUUAUACACAUUACAUUUGAGAAGUUUCAAAUCACAUUUGAGAAGUUUAAAAUCAUAACACAAAAUAUCAGAAAACACAAAAGAUGAAAGUGAUGUACAUAACAUAUAGGUGAUUUUAAUGGUUUUCACAAACAUCUAAAUGUACACUUAAUUAAUAAACAUCUACAUGUACAUUUAGAAUGUACACAUGUAUUCGAUUUUUUUAAUAAUUAAUUUAUUAAUGACAUCAUUAUAAUUAUGUCAUCUUCUUCCCGAGUCCCUUAGGGUUACAAAUUUUACAAGAAAUUUGAGGAUUUUUAACUCAUUGGUAGGAACAAAAUGAAAGACAGCUUAAAAACAUUUAACUUGGUCUUAUUGCUCUUGAUUUCAUGUUGAUUUGUUAGCUGCGAUUUGUCGGCGGUAAAAUGAAACAAAAUGAAGAAGGAAAACAUAUGCAUGACAGCACGAUAAACGUUUCUGUGACCGGAGCUUGAGGGUGACGACGAGUGCAGCGGCUCAGGCAAAGAAGCUUACUGUGGUCAGGGUUACCCGCAUUCGAGCUCGUGACUCAAUCAUAUUCGCGACAGAGAGUUUUGAUGAGGGUUGGGAUAGUUUUGACGGUAAUUGAAAUUCAUAAAGGAAAGAGAGAGAGAAUAAAUCUUGACCAUUCAGUAUGUAAUUAAAUCAAUGGUUUAUAGCAAUUCAAGUGACUUUAUUAAUUGAUGCUAGUUUUUCUUUUUCUUUUUUAACGUUGGGAACACAUUACAUCAUCAUAUAAUCACUAGAUCUAUUACAUAUGAUGAUCAACUACCUGCAACAUAUGUGAUAUUGAUGAAUAGCUCCACGAAUAAUGAUUCCACGAUGAAGCUCUUCCCGAAACACUUGAAACCACAGACGGUUUUGCAUGUACGACAUCCUCGAUAGACAGGUUCUCACCGCAACAAGCGACCACAACGAACGGCUCUGUUUACAGUACUCUGGAACCUCCGAAAGCUUUGCAUCCUAUAAUCUACAAGAAAUUGCAUAGUAUGGGAUUCAAACCCCAUACCUAGGUGUAGAAGCCUUUUAACCAAUAGGCUAGGGUGCUUCCACAAUUGAUGCUAGUUUAGUUAGAUAUAUUUUCUAAAAGGAUGUAACUGGAUCAGUUAGGAGACAAGGAAAAAGUUAAGAAAAAGUGUCAUGAGGAGUACAUAGUGCUUUAGAGUGUAAAGAAGUAGAUGUGAUGUGACCUAUUGUGUAAAGGGUAAUUCUCCUAAAUAGACUAUUUUUAAGUUUUGAUCACAAAAAUAUACUACAAUGAGGAAAAUGACCAAAAUGUUUCAUUUAAUAGGUAAAAGGAACCUAAUACUCUAGAUAUAAAAAAAAUUAAAAAAUUAAAAAUAAAAUAAAAUAAAAAUAAAUAAACUUUUUUUAUAGUUUUAGAUUAUAUGUUUUCAAAUUCGAAUUUUUUUAUAAUUUUUGUUACAUAAAUUUUUUUUUCAAAAUUUUUAUUUUAUUUUUUUUUUCAAAUUUUGUUUUUGUAAUUUGAAAAUACUAUUUGAAACUAUUUUUAAAAUUUUUAUUAUAAAAUUUUUAAUAUUUAUUUUUUAUUUUAUAAAAUUUUAAAUCUCAAUCCCAAAUCUCCACCCCUCAGCUCUAAACCUUAAGAGUUAGAUUAGUUAACUUUAAUGAUAUAUAUGUAUAUUUACUUCUUUAAUAAAAUAUUUUGGUUAUUUUGAUAUUUAUGGUCUAUAUUUGUGACAUAAUUUUUUUUAGUGCUAUUUUAGGCUAUUUCCCGAUUGGUUAUAUUCGGUUUGAUAAAAAGUACAAAACCAACCCUAACUAAGUGUUCUUCAUUUCAAUUGAUUCCUUGUCUUAACCAGCGACUCAUCGCGCACUCUUUUAACUCCCAGUCUUCUGAUUCUAAACUUGUAUUCUUGCAAGAGAAGAUGGAUCGUAUCGGAAGUCUACCCGAAGAGGUUCUUUCUCAUAUACUGUCUUUCCUGACGACAAAGGAAGCUGCUAUAACCUCGAUUCUCUCCAAAAGAUGGCGCAAUCUCUUUACACUCGUCCCUAGCCUCGACAUUGACGACUCUGUGUUUCUUAACCCGGAAGAGGGUAAGCGGGAACGAGAUGGUAUCCUCCAAAGCUUCAUGGAUUUCGUGGAUAAGGUUUUGGCUUCGCAGGGCGAUACUCCCAUCAAGAAAUUCUCCUUGAAAUGCAAAACUGGCAUCGACACAGAUCGUGUGAAUCAAUGGAUAUGUAAUGUCCUCCAACGUGGCGCUACAAGCCUUGAACUUGUCCUCGAUUUUCCUGGAUCAGACGACAAUUGGGAUUCCGAUUAUAUGUAUCUUCUGCCUAGAGAGCUGUUCGUUAGUAGCAAACUGGUGGAGCUGAAAUUAAGAAGCGAGUUUGGUGUUGAUUGGUGGCGUGGAGGUACGGACACUUUCUUACCAAUGCUUAAGACUCUCCGCUUUGAAUCUACGUGGAUUCUGUUGUGUGAUGAUCUCGAGGUGUUUCUCUCUGCUUUCCCUGUUCUCGAGGAGUUCUACAUGGCUGAUAUCGAGUGGCCUCAAUCGGACCAAUCCGCGUCGAGUCAGAGCCUCAGGAAGUUAACUAUCCAUGCCGGCGGUUUCCAAGAUUUUCGAAAUCCGAAGAGGAUUUCGUUUGAUAGUCCGAGUCUCGUUUACCUUGAGUAUUCUGAUUUUGUUGCCGCGGAUUAUCCGAAAGUUAACUUGCCCAAUCUAGCCGAGGCUGUGCUCGACCUUAAGGUGACUCUACAUCAGAUUGACUUAAUACGAGAACCAGAUGAUGAAAAUGUUGUUUCUCUACGUCUUCGGAAUGUGUGGAAGCUCAUAAGAGGGUUAAGAAAUGUUAAUAAACUUUUCAUUUCUGCUGAGACUCUUGAGGUCAGUUGUUAUUCAUCUGAAACAUCAAAUGUUUUUUGAAACAAAUGUUAAUGUUGGGACUUAGGAUGGGUUUUUGUCUUGUUUUUCAGGCACUGUCUCUAUGCUGUGAGUCGAUGCCGGGGUUCAACAACCUCAAAUCUCUACAUAUUAUUUGUGAAGCGGAUCUGGGAUGGCAAGCGAUGCCGGCUCUCUUAAGGAACUGUCCACGUUUAGAAACUCUAAUCCUCAAGGUAUACGCCCAAAACAUUGUACAAUGGUACUUAGAGUUCCUUUAUUGACUCGCUUCCUCUUUCAAGGGUCUCUUACACCAUGUGACUGACAAGUGCGGGGAUGCUUGCGACUGCAUAUCUCGGGAGGACAAAGGUCGUUCACUAUCAUCAUGUCCAGUGAAGAAGCUGGAGAUCAGAGGGUUUCAAGGAACAGUUAGAGAGAAAGAGAUGAUAAGGCAUUUCUUGGAGUCUUUCCCUUGUUUGGAUGAGAUGGAAGUAUAUGCCGACCAGAGUGAUAAUGAUCCUACAAACGUUGAAGUAAAUAGAAUUUAUAAAAUCAUUGCAUACAAGGUCCACGGGAAGGAGAUUUCUACUCAUACUGUGCUACAGUCGAAGGGUAUGUCCCAAAGCCAGAUGGAGGAGAUCUCCUCUCAGGUAUAUUUAAUUACAUUAAAGAAAACCAUUACGGUUUUGAGUUAACUAAUCAGUCCUUUUCUUGUUUUCUGCAGUUUACACCCCGCAAUAACAGAAAUAAGUAUGGUAUGGUUUACAUCUUGCAUGGAACUCAUCCUCCACCGCAGGAGAUCUCUCAGUACUACAUUAAGGAGCUGCUUAAUGAGGAAUAUAAGGAGAGGCAACGAGUCCAUGAUGCUAUGUUUGAUGGAAUUGUUGAGCAGUACCCGAUGAUAGCAUCGGCAUUGAAGGCUCGACAAUCUGCUGCAGACUCAGAGGCGUCUAACGAUCAGGAGAAGAAGCGGGACUUCGAGGCUCUGUUGGAAAUCAUGACGGACCUGUAUCCAGAUUUUGCAUCAGCGCUGAAGGCUAUGCGUGGGACUGACUUAGAGCGAGGGGAGCCGUCGAGGGAUCAGGGUGAGAUGGCCGAGCUCGGCCAAACUACGCCCACAGAUAUGGCAGCAGAUCUUUUGCCACGAGAUGGAGA